This 77-nucleotide transfer RNA is filed under the name Candidatus Gracilibacteria bacterium GN02-873. Its description in RNAcentral is "tRNA-Asp". It matches the Rfam family "tRNA". From Rfam's summary of the family: Transfer RNA (tRNA) molecules are approximately 80 nucleotides in length. Their secondary structure includes four short double-helical elements and three loops (D, anti-codon, and T loops). RNAcentral also lists the same sequence under 5 other names. Lineage: Bacteria; Candidatus Altimarinota. The record is from RNAcentral.
GGUGCUAUAGCUCAGUUGGUUAGAGCGCUGCCCUGUCACGGCAGAGGUCGCGAGUUCGAGUCUCGUUAGCACCGCCA